GGGUAGCGUGGUUCCAGAGAGUACCAUCUUUGAGGCUCGGGUAGGUAGGAAAUACUUGUUAGGGUGAAAACAAGAAAUCACAAAUCGCCAAAGUCGAGAUCCUGACGCUCUACUAAAUCAGUACACACUCAGUGGACAAAUAGUAUAAGAAAUUAGCUAUCAAAAUCUAUAUUCUUAUAUAGGUGAAUUGGCUUGGCCCCCUGAAAACAGGUUAUAAACGAGUGAUCUUUACGCUAUACCGACUAAGUAGAGGAAACUCCAUCUCUCUUCUUAUUAAGGAGAAAGUUGAGAAAGAGAAAAGCUAAUCGGUGAGGGCAAGAAUUCAACCAAAACCACUUUUCCUGGCGCUGUUGCUAUUCAACCAAAACCACUUUUCCUGGCGCUGUUGCUAAUGGGGAUCCACCUUGUUCCGAUAUACCGCUCCACCAGAUAGAUUGCAAGUCAUAGGCAUGAUAUUCUGAGUCUCUUAUACUAGAUGAAGGUUUCCAGUCAUAGGUGCCUAUAGAGUUAGUUCGGGCCCUUAUUGGUUGUUUGCCAGUUCAAGACAGUUCCUGGUCGAGAUAGAGUUGAAGACAGGUAGUACAGCUUCAUCUGUUUUAGUUGCCCUUAUUGUAAGUUGCAGAGGGAUAUCCUUAGUUAGCUGAGCCGGGAGUUCUGGUUUCAUCCCCUUUAAGCAGUAGUCCUGUUCGAGUGGAAUACUGAGUUUAGUCUUCUGUUUACAAGUAUUGUAGUAGUCCUUAAUCCCCAAUAAGUAGUAUAGUAGUAGAAUCAGUAUGAGUAGCCCGGUAGUAGAAUCAGUAUGAGUAGCCCGAGUUAGAUUUUAGUCCAGUCCAGUAGUAUACGCUUGUCUCGGUUGCCUUUUUAGUCGUUACUUGGCGGUAUUAAACUCAUUCCCCUAGUAGUUUCAGAAGAAAGUAAUAAAGGCUUUGUUGCGGGAAGGGAGUAGAGCUGCUUGGCUUGUUCCAUUACUUGCUUGUUAGGGUGUGCCGGGUAGUUGUUGAAGUCAGUUACUAGACCACUGAUUGCCCGAAG
RNAcentral lists this long non-coding RNA (1032 nucleotides) under Musa acuminata (dwarf banana). Its description in RNAcentral is "long non-coding RNA (MACU_LNC011618)". Lineage: Eukaryota; Viridiplantae; Streptophyta; Magnoliopsida; Zingiberales; Musaceae. The record is from RNAcentral.